UGGGGAAUAUUGGACAAUGGGGGCAACCCUGAUCCAGCAAUACCGCGUGUGUGAAGAAGGCCUUAGGGUUGUAAAGCACUUUAGGUAGGGAAGAAGGUUAUUAGUUUAAGAGAUGAAUAACUUGACGGUACCUGCAGAAUAAGCACCGGCUAACUCUGUGCCAGCAGCCGCGGUAAUACAGAGGGUGCAAGCGUUAAUCGGAUUUACUGGGCGUAAAGGGCGCGUAGGUGGUUACGUAAGUGAGAUGUGAAAUCCCCGGGCUUAACCUGGGAACUGCAUCUUAUACUGCGUAGCUUGAGUGCAAUAGAGGGUAGUGGAAUUUCCGGUGUAGCGGUGAAAUGCGUAGAUAUCGGAAGGAACACCAGUGGCGAAGGCGGCUACCUGGAUUGACACUGACACUGAGGCGCGAAAGCGUGGGGAGCAAACAGG
This 429-nucleotide ribosomal RNA is filed under the name uncultured bacterium. RNAcentral's name for it is "bacterial SSU rRNA". It matches the Rfam family "Bacterial small subunit ribosomal RNA", at positions 355 to 776 of the family's 1533-position model. The record is from RNAcentral.